Molecule: non-coding RNA, 69 nt
Organism: Podarcis lilfordi (Lilford's wall lizard)
Lineage: Eukaryota; Metazoa; Chordata; Lepidosauria; Squamata; Lacertidae
Source: the annotation of a GenBank genome assembly
GGACUACAAAUCCCAUCAGCCUCAGUUAGCAAAGGUUGUGCUAGCUGAGCCUGAUGGGAUUUGUAUUCC